RNAcentral lists this unclassified non-coding RNA (218 nucleotides) under Hevea brasiliensis (rubber tree). Lineage: Eukaryota; Viridiplantae; Streptophyta; Magnoliopsida; Malpighiales; Euphorbiaceae. The record is from RNAcentral.
GCUGCUCACUGUUAUAAGAAAACAUCUACAAAUGAGGCAAUAUCCUGCUUAGGUCAAGCUGUAGAUUUGUUUUGUGAUAUAGGAAGAAUCAGUAUGGCUGCAAGAUAUUAUAAGGAAAUUGGUGAAUUAUAUGAAUCAGAAGCAAAUUUUGAGAAAGCUAUCGACUUCUAUGAAAAGGCAGCUGAUUUCUUCCAAGGUGAAGAAGUAACAACUUCUGC